AUGAACGCUGGCGGCAGGCCUAAAACAUGCAAGUCGAACGCUGUAGCAAUACAGAGUGGCGCACGGGUGAGUAACAUGUGGGAAUAUGCCUUUUGGUACGGAACAACGUUUGGAAACGAACGCUAAUACCGUAUGGUCCCUUCGGGGUAAAGAUUUAUCGCCAAAAGAGUAGCCCGCGCUGGAUUAGCUAGUUGGUGAGGUAAUGGCUCACCAAGGCGACGAUCCAUAGCUGGUCUGAGAGGACGAUCAGCCACACUGGGACUGAGACACGGCCCAGACUCCUACGGGAGGCAGCAGUUAGGAAUAUUGGACAAUGGGGGCAACCCUGAUCCAGCCAUGCCGCGUGAGUGGUGAAGGCCUUCGGGUUGUAAAGCUCUUUAGCCGAUGAUUAUAAUGACUGUAGUCGGAGAAUAAGCCCCGGCUAACUUCGU
Molecule: ribosomal RNA, 431 nt
Filed under: uncultured bacterium
Lineage: Bacteria
Description: bacterial SSU rRNA
Rfam family: Bacterial small subunit ribosomal RNA
Source: RNAcentral